This 492-nucleotide ribosomal RNA is filed under the name uncultured bacterium. Its description in RNAcentral is "partial 16S ribosomal RNA". It matches the Rfam family "Bacterial small subunit ribosomal RNA", at positions 29 to 507 of the family's 1533-position model. The record is from RNAcentral.
AGUGAACGCUGGCGGUAGGCCUAACACAUGCAAGUCGAACGGCAGCACAGUAAGAGCUUGCUCUUACGGGUGGCGAGUGGCGGACGGGUGAGGAAUACAUCGGAAUCUACUUUUUCGUGGGGGAUAACGUAGGGAAACUUACGCUAAUACCGCAUACGACCUACGGGUGAAAGCAGGGGAUCUUCGGACCUUGCGCGAUUGGAUGAGCCGAUGUCGGAUUAGCUAGUUGGCGGGGUAAAGGCCCACCAAGGCGACGAUCCGUAGCUGGUCUGAGAGGAUGAUCAGCCACACUGGAACUGAGACACGGUCCAGACUCCUACGGGAGGCAGCAGUGGGGAAUAUUGGACAAUGGGCGCAAGCCCGAUCCAGCCAUACCGCGUGGGUGAAGAAGGCCUUCGGGUUGUAAAGCCCUUUUGUUGGGAAAGAAAAGCAGCAGGUUAAUACCCCGCUGUUCUGACGGUACCCAAAGAAUAAGCACCGGCUAACUUCGUG